UUCCGGUUGAUCCUGCCGGACCUGACUGCUAUCGGAUUGAUACUAAGCCAUGCGAGUCUUUGCAGUAAUGCAAGGCAUACGGCUCAGUAACACGUAGUCAACUUACCCUAUGGACGAGGAUAAUCUCGGGAAACUGAGCAUAAUACUCGAUAGAUCAUAAUGCCUGGAAUGGUUUAUGGUUAAAAUGAUUCGUCGCCAUAGGAUGGGACUGCGGCCUAUCAGCUUGUUGGUGAGGUAAUGGCCCACCAAGGCGAUUACAGGUACGGGCUCUGAGAGGAGAAGCCCGGAGAUGGGUACUGAGACAAGGACCCAGGCCCUAUGGGGCGCAGCAGGCGAGAAAACUUUGCAAUGUGCGAAAGCACGACAAGGUUAAUCCGAGUGAUUUCUGCUAAAGAAAUCUUUUGCAAGUCAUAAAACCACUAGUGAAUAAGGGGUGGGCAAGUUCUGGUGUCAGCCGCCGCGGUAAAACCAGCACCUCAAGUGGUCAGGAGGAUUAUUGGGCCUAAAGCAUCCGUAGCCGGCUCUGUAAGUUUUCGGUUAAAUCCAUGUGCUCAACACAUGGGCUGCCGAAAAUACUGCAUAGCUAGGGAGUGGGAGAGGUAGACGGUACUCGGUAGGAAGGGGUAAAAUCCUUUGAUCUAUCGAUGACCACCUGUGGCGAAGGCGGUCUACCAGAACACGUUCGACGGUGAGGGAUGAAAGCUGGGGGAGCAAACCGGAUUAGAUACCCGGGUAGUCCCAGCUGUAAACGAUGCAGACUCGAUGAUGCAUUGGCAUAUAGCCAGUGCAGUGUCGCAGGAAGCCGUUAAGUCUGCCGCCUGGGAAGUACGUACGCAAGUAUGAAACUUAAAGGAAUUGGCGGGGGAGCACCACAAGGGGUGAAGCCUGCGGUUCAAUUGGAUUCAACGCCGG
RNAcentral lists this ribosomal RNA (912 nucleotides) under uncultured marine archaeon. Its description in RNAcentral is "bacterial SSU rRNA". It matches the Rfam family "Archaeal small subunit ribosomal RNA", at positions 1 to 921 of the family's 1478-position model. The record is from RNAcentral.